This 530-nucleotide ribosomal RNA is filed under the name Acrobeloides sp. Sourhope farm. Its description in RNAcentral is "SSU rRNA". It matches the Rfam family "Eukaryotic small subunit ribosomal RNA", at positions 85 to 612 of the family's 1831-position model. The record is from RNAcentral. Lineage: Eukaryota; Metazoa; Nematoda; Chromadorea; Rhabditida; Cephalobidae.
AACCGCGAAUGGCUCAUUAUAACAGCUAUAAUUUACUUGAUCUUGACACAAUCCUACUUGGAUAACUGUGGUAAUUCUAGAGCUAAUACAUGCAUUAAAGCUCUGACCUCACGGGAAGAGUGCAUUUAUUAGAACAAAACCAAGCGGCUUCGGCUGUUUCUGGUUGACUCAUAGUAACUGAGCUGAUCGCAUGGUCUUGCACCGGCGACGUGUCUUUCAAGUAUCUGCCGUAUCAACUUUCGAUGGUAGUGUAUCUGACUACCAUGGUGAUCACGCGUAACGGAGAAUAAGGGUUCGGCUCCGGAGAGUUCGCCUGAGAAAUCGCGAACACAUCUAAGGAAGGCAGCAGGCGCGAAAAUUACCCACUCUCAGCACGAGGAGGUAGUGACGAAAAAUAACGAGACCGUUCUCUUAUGAGGCCGGUCAUCGGAAUGGGUACAAUUUAAACCCUUUAACGAGUAUCUAUGAGAGGGCAAGUCUGGUGCCAGCAGCCGCGGUAAUUCCAGCUCUCAAAGUGCAUAGAAUUAUUG